This 496-nucleotide ribosomal RNA is filed under the name uncultured bacterium. Its description in RNAcentral is "partial 16S ribosomal RNA". It matches the Rfam family "Bacterial small subunit ribosomal RNA", at positions 30 to 523 of the family's 1533-position model. The record is from RNAcentral.
AUUGAACGCUGGCGGAAUGCUUUACACAUGCAAGUCGAACGGUAGAGGGGGCAACCCCUCGAGAGUGGCGAACGGGUGAGUAAUAUAUCGGAACGUGCCCAGUCGUGGGGGAUAACGUAGUGAAAAUUACGCUAAUACCGCAUACGAUCUAUGGAUGAAAGCGGGGGAUCGCAAGACCUCGCGCGAUUGGAGCGGACGAUAUCAGAUUAGGUAGUUGGUGGGGUAAAGGCCCACCAAGCCAACGAUCUGUAGCUGGUCUGAGAGGACGACCAGCCACACUGGAACUGAGACACGGUCCAGACUCCUACGGGAGGCAGCAGUGGGGAAUUUUGGACAAUGGGCGAAAGCCUGAUCCAGCCAUUCCGCGUGCAGGAUGAAGGCCCUCGGGUUGUAAACUGCUUUUGUACAGAACGAAAAGGUUUCUACUAAUACUAGGAGCUCAUGACGGUACUGUAAGAAUAAGCACUGGCUAACUACGUGCCAGCCGCCGCCGUAA